CCCAUAACCACUACACAGGGUGCCUCUCCUCCAUGGCUGAAGUGUCGCUUUUACAGAUGCCGAAGGUACGAUGCAAAAAAGACUGGAGCCCAUCUUCUGGAUUGAGAGACUGGAGCCCAUCUUCUGGAUUGAGAGGUGCCAGACCAAGAGGGCUGGAGGCCCGGCUGGAGAGGGAAAGCAGGCAUUGCCCCUGAAGGUUCGCAGAGAAGCUAGGAUCUGACCUGGAAGAAAGGAGACAGCCACCUUCUCCAGAACCGCAUUAGCAGCAAUUUCCCGAGAUUCUCACUUUGUGAUCCCAGCUGGAGUGUACUGAUGCGAUCACAGCUCACUGCAGCCUCAAACUCCUGGGCUCAAGUGCUCCUCCCACCUCAGCCUCCCAAGUAACUGGGGCUACAGCCAUGUGCCACCACACUGGGCUAAUUUUUUUAUUUUUCAUACAGAUGGGGUCUCACUACAGAUUGAUGAUGGAUUAUAGGUGAUUGAUUGAUAGAUUAUAUGUUAUAGAUGAUUGAUAGAGAGAAUGGAUUACAG
This 531-nucleotide long non-coding RNA is filed under the name Homo sapiens (human). RNAcentral's name for it is "HSALNT0370526". Lineage: Eukaryota; Metazoa; Chordata; Mammalia; Primates; Hominidae. The record is from RNAcentral.